CUGGCCUCAAAUCAGGUAGGACUACCCGCUGAACUUAAGCAUAUCAAUAAGCGGAGGAAAAGAAACUAACAAGGAUUCCCCUAGUAACGGCGAGUGAAGCGGGAUGAGCUCAAAUUUAAAAUCUUGCAGCCUCAGGUUGUACGAGUUGUAGUCUAGAGAAUCGUUUUCCGCGUUGGCCUGUGUACAAGUCCCUUGGAACAGGGCGUCAUAGAGGGUGAGAAUCCCGUCCUUGACACAGACUACCAAUGCUUUGUGAUGCGAUCUCGAAGAGUCGAGUUGUUUGGGAAUGCAGCUCAAAAUGGGUGGUAAAUUCCAUCUAAAGCUAAAUAUUGGCGAGAGACCGAUAGCGAACAAGUACCGUGAGGGAAAGAUGAAAAGCACUUUGGAAAGAGAGUUAAACAGUACGUGAAAUUGUUAAAAGGGAAACGAUUGAAGUCAGUCAUGCUUUCCGAGACUCAGCCGAUUCUGUCGGUGUACUUCUCGGUUUGCAGGCCAGCAUCAGUUUCGAUCUGUGGAAAAGGUUGGAGGGAACGUGGCAUCCUCGGAUGUGUUAUAGCCCUCCUUCGAAUACAUAGAGCGGGACUGAGGAACGCAGCGCGCCCUUUAUUGGGUUGGUCUUCGGAUACAUACGCGCUUAGG
This 639-nucleotide ribosomal RNA is filed under the name Mrakia cryoconiti. RNAcentral's name for it is "LSU rRNA". It matches the Rfam family "Eukaryotic large subunit ribosomal RNA", at positions 1 to 621 of the family's 3401-position model. Lineage: Eukaryota; Fungi; Basidiomycota; Tremellomycetes; Cystofilobasidiales; Mrakiaceae. The record is from RNAcentral.